UUCGGGCGUGAAUAUUGGACAAUGGGCGCAAGCCUGAUCCAGCCAUACCGCGUGGGUGAAGAAGGCCUUCGGGUUGUAAAGCCCUUUUGUUGGGAAAGAAAAGCAAUCGGCUAAUACCCGGUUGUUCUGACGGUACCCAAAGAAUAAGCACCGGCUAACUUCGUGCCAGCAGCCGCGGUAAUUAAAA
Molecule: ribosomal RNA, 187 nt
Filed under: uncultured Stenotrophomonas sp.
Lineage: Bacteria; Pseudomonadati; Pseudomonadota; Gammaproteobacteria; Lysobacterales; Lysobacteraceae
Description: partial 16S ribosomal RNA
Rfam family: Bacterial small subunit ribosomal RNA
Source: RNAcentral